AGAGUUUGAUCCUGGCUCAGGACGAACGUUGGCGGCACGCCUAAUGCAUGCAAGUCGAACGAAAUCCCACCGCUUGCGGUGGUGUAUUUAGUGGCAGACGGCUGAGUAACGCGUAACUAAUCUGCCUUUGGGAGGGGAAUAACAAAGGGAAACCUUUGCUAAUACCCCGUACGAUCUAUAUUUUACUUUUUAUAGAUGAAAGGUGUCUUUGGCAUCGCCCUUAGAUGAGGUUGCGUACUAUCAGGUAGUUGGUGGGGUAAUGGCCUACCAAGCCUAAGACGGUUAGCUGGUGUGAGAGCACGACCAGCCAGAGGGGGACUGAGACACGGCCCCCACUCCUACGGGAGGCAGCAGCAGGGAAUCUUCCGCAAUGGGCGAAAGCCUGACGGAGCGAUGCCGCGUGAGGGAUGAAGGUUUUUGGAUCGUAAACCUCUUUUCUUGGGGAAGAGCAAGGACGGUACCCAAGGAAUAAGUCACGGCUAACUACGUGCCAGCAGCCGCGGUAAUACGUAGGUGACGAACGUUGUCCGGAAUUAUUGGGCGUAAAGGGUCCGUAGGCCGUUUAGUCAGUCUCCUGUGAAAUCUCUAGGCUCAACCUAGAGAGGUCGGGAGAUACUGCUAAACUUGAGAUUGUCAGAGGCAAGUGGAAUUCCCGGUGUAGUGGUGAAAUGCGUAGAUAUCGGGAGGAACAUCAAUGGCGAAAGCAGCUUGCUGGGGCAUUUCUGACGCUGAGGGACGAAAGCGUGGGUAGCAAACCGGAUUAGAUACCCGGGUAGUCCACGCCCUAAACGAUGAAUGCUAGGUUUGCGGGGUAUCGACCCCUUGUGAGCCGAAGCUAACGCGAUAAGCAUUCCGCCUGGGGACUACGGCCGCAAGGCUAAAACUCAAAGGAAUUGACGGG
RNAcentral lists this ribosomal RNA (901 nucleotides) under marine metagenome. Its description in RNAcentral is "bacterial SSU rRNA". It matches the Rfam family "Bacterial small subunit ribosomal RNA", at positions 8 to 917 of the family's 1533-position model. The record is from RNAcentral.